This 700-nucleotide ribosomal RNA is filed under the name marine metagenome. RNAcentral's name for it is "bacterial SSU rRNA". It matches the Rfam family "Bacterial small subunit ribosomal RNA", at positions 810 to 1520 of the family's 1533-position model. The record is from RNAcentral.
UGUGUGCUAGACGUUGGAAAUUUUAUUUUCAGUGUCGCAGCGAAAGCGAUAAGCACACCGCCUGGGGAGUACGGCCGCAAGGUUAAAACUCAAAGGAAUUGACGGGGACCCGCACAAGCGGUGGAGCAUGUGGUUUAAUUCGAAGAUACGCGCAGAACCUUACCAACACUUGACAUGUUCGUCGCAACUCUAAGAGAUUAGAGUUUUCGGUUCGGCCGGACGAAACACAGGUGCUGCAUGGCUGUCGUCAGCUCGUGUCGUGAGAUGUUGGGUUAAGUCCCGCAACGAGCGCAACCCUCACUUUUAGUUGCUACCAUUUAGUUGGGCACUCUGAAAGAACUGCCAGUGAUAAGCUGGAGGAAGGUGGGGAUGACGUCAAGUCCUCAUGGCCCUUACGUGUUGGGCUACACACGUGCUACAAUGGUAUCUACAACAGGAAGCAAAACAGCGAUGUUAAGCAAAUCCCGAAAAGAUACCUCAGUUCGGAUUGCACUCUGCAACUCGAGUGCAUGAAGCUGGAAUUACUAGUAAUCGUGGAUCAGCGUGCCACGGUGAAUACGUUCCCGGGUCUUGUACACACCGCCCGUCACACCAUGGGAGUUGGUUCUACCUUAAGGCAAAGUUUAAAACCUUUGACCACGGUAUAGUCAGCGACUGGGGUGAAGUCGUAACAAGGUAGCCGUAGGGGAACCUGCGGCUG